CUCGCAGUGGAGUUAAAGUUAAGUCUAUGAAACACAGUGGAGAACAGGUCCAACCAAACCAACUGUUUCAAUAGCGAUUAAACAAAUGAGUUGGCUCCUUCGUUUGUUCGGUCCCAGAUGUUUUCGGCUGGCUUGUCAAUCGGCUCAAAGUAAAAUGGAUUGUAGUUGGUACCCUGUCUCAGGGUCUAGCGUAAUAUUUGCUCACAAACAAAAAGGCGAACAGAACAAUCGAAAUACUUGAAGGCUCCCCGAAAAAAAACAAAAAACCAAAAAAAAAAAACUAAAUAAAAAAGAAAGAACCGAGACUCGUGACUUAACAAGGCCAAGAAGCUAAAAUGGAGGGGAAUGACGAUGGAUUUGUAUGGAUGAUGAAUGGCGAGGGCAGCAAUUGUGCAACCAUUUCCACACCAUCAGCGGGAAAUCCAUCAGGUUGGAUUAGAAUAAUAUUUCUACCAUAACAAAAAUUUGUUACCAUUUUGCAGUACACAUUUAACUGAGAAU
Molecule: non-coding RNA, 501 nt
Organism: Drosophila melanogaster (fruit fly)
Lineage: Eukaryota; Metazoa; Arthropoda; Insecta; Diptera; Drosophilidae
Source: Ensembl